GAUGAACGCUGGCGGCGUGCCUAAUACAUGCAAGUCGAGCGAACGGACGAGAAGCUUGCUUCUCUGAUGUUAGCGGCGGACGGGUGAGUAACACGUGGAUAACCUACCUAUAAGACUGGGAUAACUUCGGGAAACCGGAGCUAAUACCGGAUAAUAUUUUGAACCGCAUGGUUCAAAAGUGAAAGACGGUCUUGCUGUCACUUAUAGAUGGAUCCGCGCUGCAUUAGCUAGUUGGUAAGGUAACGGCUUACCAAGGCAACGAUGCAUAGCCGACCUGAGAGGGUGAUCGGCCACACUGGAACUGAGACACGGUCCAGACUCCUACGGGAGGCAGCAGUAGGGAAUCUUCCGCAAUGGGCGAAAGCCUGACGGAGCAACGCCGCGUGAGUGAUGAAGGUCUUCGGAUCGUAAAACUCUGUUAUUAGGGAAGAACAUAUGUGUAAGUAACUGUGCACAUCUUGACGGUACCUAAUCAGAAAGCCACGGCUAACUACGUGCCAGCAGCCGCGGUAAUACGUAGGUGGCAAGCGUUAUCCGGAAUUAUUGGGCGUAAAGCGCGCGUAGGCGGUUUUUUAAGUCUGAUGUGAAAGCCCACGGCUCAACCGUGGAGGGUCAUUGGAAACUGGAAAACUUGAGUGCAGAAGAGGAAAGUGGAAUUCCAUGUGUAGCGGUGAAAUGCGCAGAGAUAUGGAGGAACACCAGUGGCGAAGGCGACUUUCUGGUCUGUAACUGACGCUGAUGUGCGAAAGCGUGGGGAUCAAACAGGAUUAGAUACCCUGGUAGUCCACGCCGUAAACGAUGAGUGCUAAGUGUUAGGGGGUUUCCGCCCCUUAGUGCUGCAGCUAACGCAUUAAGCACUCCGCCUGGGGAGUACGACCGCAAGGUUGAAACUCAAAGGAAUUGACGGGGACCCGCACAAGCGGUGGAGCAUGUGGUUUAAUUCGAAGCAACGCGAAGAACCUUACCAAAUCUUGACAUCCUUUGACAACUCUAGAGAUAGAGCUUUCCCCUUCGGGGGACAAAGUGACAGGUGGUGCAUGGUUGUCGUCAGCUCGUGUCGUGAGAUGUUGGGUUAAGUCCCGCAACGAGCGCAACCCUUAAGCUUAGUUGCCAUCAUUAAGUUGGGCACUCUAAGUUGACUGCCGGUGACAAACCGGAGGAAGGUGGGGAUGACGUCAAAUCAUCAUGCCCCUUAUGAUUUGGGCUACACACGUGCUACAAUGGACAAUACAAAGGGCAGCGAAACCGCGAGGUCAAGCAAAUCCCAUAAAGUUGUUCUCAGUUCGGAUUGUAGUCUGCAACUCGACUACAUGAAGCUGGAAUCGCUAGUAAUCGUAGAUCAGCAUGCUACGGUGAAUACGUUCCCGGAUCU
RNAcentral lists this ribosomal RNA (1372 nucleotides) under uncultured bacterium. Its description in RNAcentral is "bacterial SSU rRNA". It matches the Rfam family "Bacterial small subunit ribosomal RNA", at positions 28 to 1381 of the family's 1533-position model. The record is from RNAcentral.